This 429-nucleotide ribosomal RNA is filed under the name uncultured bacterium. RNAcentral's name for it is "bacterial SSU rRNA". It matches the Rfam family "Bacterial small subunit ribosomal RNA", at positions 355 to 775 of the family's 1533-position model. The record is from RNAcentral.
UGGGGAAUAUUGCGCAAUGGGCGAAAGCCUGACGCAGCAACGCCGUGUGAGGGAUGAAGGCUUUCGGGUCGUAAACCUCUGUCAGAAGGGAAGAACGGGUAAUGGUCGAACAGGCCGUUAUUUUGACGGUACCUUCAGAGGAAGCACCGGCUAACUCCGUGCCAGCAGCCGCGGUAAUACGGAGGGUGCAAGCGUUAUUCGGAAUUACUGGGCGUAAAGCGCACGUAGGCGGCCUUGUAAGUCAGGGGUGAAAUCCCACGGCUCAACCGUGGAACUGCCCUUGAAACUGCGGGGCUUGAAUCCUGGAGAGGGUGGCGGAAUUCCUGGUGUAGGAGUGAAAUCCGUAGAUAUCAGGAGGAACACCGGUGGCGAAGGCGGCCACCUGGACAGGCAUUGACGCUGAGGUGCGAAAGUGUGGGGAGCAAACAG